This 370-nucleotide ribosomal RNA is filed under the name uncultured organism. Its description in RNAcentral is "partial 16S ribosomal RNA". It matches the Rfam family "Bacterial small subunit ribosomal RNA", at positions 527 to 896 of the family's 1533-position model. The record is from RNAcentral.
GGAGGGUGCAAACGUUAAUCGGAAUUACUGGGCGUAAAGCGCGCGUAGGCGGUUUGGUAAGUCGGAUGUGAAAGCCCUGGGCUCAACCUGGGAAUUGCAUUCGAUACUGCUGAACUAGAGUAUGGUAGAGGGAAGUGGAAUUUCCGGUGUAGCGGUGAAAUGCGUAGAUAUCGGAAGGAACACCAGUGGCGAAGGCGACUUCCUGGGCCAAUACUGACGCUGAGGUGCGAAAGCGUGGGGAGCAAACAGGGAUUAGAUACCCUGGUAGUCCACGCUGUAAACGAUGAGAACUAGAUGUUGGGAGGGUUACCUCUCGGUGUCGCAGCUAACGCGUUAAGUUCUCCGCCUGGGGAGUACGCCGGCAACGGUA